CCUACGGGAGGCAGCAGUGAGGAAUAUUGGUCAAUGGGCGAGAGCCUGAACCAGCCAAGUCGCGUGAAGGAUGACGGCCCUACGGGUUGUAAACUUCUUUUGUCAGGGAGCAAUUGGGUCCACGCGUGGGCUUAGCGAGAGUACCUGAAGAAAAAGCAUCGGCUGACUCCGUUCCAGCAGCCGCGGUAAUACGGGGGAUGCGAGCGUUAACCGGAUUUAUUGGGUUUAAAGGGUGCUGAGGCGGAAUAUCAAGUCAGCGGUAAAAAUGCGGGUCUAAACCCCGUCGUGCCGUUGAAACUGGUGUUCGUGAGUGGGCGAGAAGUAUGCGGAAUGCGUGGUGUAGCGGUGAAAUGCAUAGAUAUCACGCAGAACUCCGAUUGCGAAGGCAGCAUACCGGCGCCCAACUGACGCUGAAGCACGAAAGCGUGGGUAUCGAACAGGAUUAGAUACCCCUGUAGUC
Molecule: ribosomal RNA, 460 nt
Filed under: uncultured bacterium
Lineage: Bacteria
Description: partial 16S ribosomal RNA
Rfam family: Bacterial small subunit ribosomal RNA
Source: RNAcentral